AAUUGAGGGGGGCUGCUCCUAGUACGAGAGGACCGGAGUGGACGCAUCACUGGUGUUCGGGUUGUCAUGCCAAUGGCACUGCCCGGUAGCUAAAUGCGGAAAAGAUAAGUGCUGAAAGCAUCUAAGCACGAAACUUGCCCCGAGAUGAGUUCUCCCUGAGACCUUGAGUCUCCUGAAGGAACGUUAAAGACGAUGACGUUGAUAGGCCGGGUGUGUAAGCGCAGCGAUGCGUUGAGCUAACCGGUACUAAUGAACCGUGAGGCUUAACCUUACAACGCCGAAG
RNAcentral lists this ribosomal RNA (283 nucleotides) under Salmonella enterica. Its description in RNAcentral is "partial 23S ribosomal RNA". It matches the Rfam family "Bacterial large subunit ribosomal RNA", at positions 2660 to 2925 of the family's 2925-position model. Lineage: Bacteria; Pseudomonadati; Pseudomonadota; Gammaproteobacteria; Enterobacterales; Enterobacteriaceae. The record is from RNAcentral.